RNAcentral lists this ribosomal RNA (459 nucleotides) under uncultured bacterium. Its description in RNAcentral is "partial 16S ribosomal RNA". It matches the Rfam family "Bacterial small subunit ribosomal RNA", at positions 338 to 795 of the family's 1533-position model. The record is from RNAcentral.
CCUACGGGCGGCAGCAGUGAGGAAUAUUGGUCAAUGGGCGCGAGCCUGAACCAGCCAAGUAGCGUGAAGGAUGACUGCCCUACGGGUUGUAAACUUCUUUUAUAAAGGAAUAAAGUGAGGCACGUGUGCCUUUCUGUAUGUACUUUAUGAAUAAGGAUCGGCUAACUCCGUGCCAGCAGCCGCGGUAAUACGGAGGAUCCGAGCGUUAUCCGGAUUUAUUGGGUUUAAAGGGAGCGUAGAUGGGUUGUUAAGUCAGUGGUAAAAGUUCGGGGCUCAACCCCGUCCGGCCGUUGAAACUGGGGACCUUGAGUGGGCGAGAAGAAGGCGGAAUGCGUGGUGUAGCGGUGAAAUGCAUAGAUAUCACGCAGAACCCCGAUUGCGAAGGCAGCUUUCCGGCGCCCAACUGACGCUGAGGCACGAAAGUGCGGGGAUCGAACAGGAUUAGAUACCCGAGUAGUC